Molecule: transfer RNA, 73 nt
Filed under: Bos taurus (domestic cattle)
Lineage: Eukaryota; Metazoa; Chordata; Mammalia; Artiodactyla; Bovidae
Also listed under: 5 other names
Rfam family: tRNA
About the family: Transfer RNA (tRNA) molecules are approximately 80 nucleotides in length.
Source: Rfam by way of RNAcentral
UCCCUGGUGAUCCAGUGGCUAGGACUCUACGCUCCCAAUGCAGGAAGCCCAGGUUCAAUCCCUGGUCAGGGAA